GGGCGGGAGGCGGUAACGGCCGACGCGGGGCUCUGGGGGGCGGCAGUGAGCGCGGGGCACAGCACGACGCGGCCCGGGCAGGGCAGGGCAGGGUAGGGCAUUGUGGUAAAUGGCCUAAUUAACAUCAGUAUAUCAACAAUUGAGAAGCGCUAUGAGUUGAACAGCUCCCUUACUGGCUUGAUAUCUGCAAGCUAUGACAUUGCUUUUUGUGUAUUGUCAUUGUUUGUAUCUUUCUUUGGAGAAAGAGGGCACAAACCACGAUGGCUGGCUUUCUCAGCUUUUAUGCUAGGAUUGGGCUCACUUGUAUUUUCCUUACCACACUUCAGUAGUGGAAAAUAUCACUAUGGAGCUAAACUUGAAGAUACAUGUCAAAUUUCAGGAGCAAGCUCUGCUAAUUUCACUUGCAGUGCCAGCACAAAGUCUUCACUUUCCAAUUAUCUGUAUGUCUUUAUACUGGGACAGCUGCUGCUGGGAGUUGGAGGAACUCCACUAUAUACUUUGGGGACAGCUUUUAUUGAUGAUAGUGUUCCAAAGCACACAUCUUCCCUUUAUAUAGGAAUUGGCUAUGCCAUGUCAUUGCUUGGGCCUGCUAUUGGCUAUGUCUUAGGAGGACAGCUGCUUAGUAUUUACAUUGAUAUCAAGAUCCCAGAAAGUACACAGAUGGACCAAGAUGACCCACGCUGGCUUGGAGCAUGGUGGAUAGGAUUCCUUGCAUGCUUUUUUGCAAUGUGGUUUCUGAUAAUACCAUUUUCUUGCUUUCCGAAAUACUUGCCAGGAACAGCAAAAAUACAGGCAGAAAAAAUCUCUGAAACCCAUAAUGAUGGAAGUGAGGCACUUGUUGAAGCAAAGAAUAUUGGAAAAAAUUUCAGAGACUUUCCUAUUGCUCUCCUGAUUCUGUUGAAGAAUCCAGUGCUUAUGAGUCUAAUAUUAGCCAGUACCUCAGAAGCUCUAGUUGCCACUGGCUUUGCCACAUUCCUACCAAAGUUCAUAGAAAAUCAGUUUGGAAUGACAUCAAGUUUUUCAGCAACUCUUGGAGGGCUUGUAUUAGUUCCAGCAGCAGCACUAGGCCAAGUCAUAAGUGGCAUCUUGGUAUCCAAGUAUAAAAUGGAUUGCAAAAACAUGAUCAAGUUCAUGAUAGGCACUUGCUCAGUUGCCUUCCUGUUAAACACAGUCUUUUUAGUUGCUAAAUGUGGAAAUGAACCUUUUGCUGGUGUUUCUGAAACAU
RNAcentral lists this long non-coding RNA (1225 nucleotides) under Gallus gallus (chicken). RNAcentral describes it as "long non-coding RNA NONGGAT011920". Lineage: Eukaryota; Metazoa; Chordata; Aves; Galliformes; Phasianidae. The record is from RNAcentral.